AGAGGCCAGAGACAACCAAUUACAGCCUCAAGAGGGUUAUUUUAACCUAAGUUACCUUUUGGUCAGUGCCCUGUCGUGGUUUCCCUUAAAUGGUUAUCCGAGAGUGUGUUCCUGAUCGUGUUUUUCUGGUUUUUGACUUUGGCUUCGUUUUUACUUCCCUGAUUUCUGGUACCCUUGACUUUUGGCUUUUCCUUAUCGCUGUGUCUUGUUCUGUUUCCCUGAUCUUGGCUAGUUUUCUGACUAUUCUCAGAUAUGUUAAGUCCAGCCAUUCUAAGGUCUGGUAAGACAUUGCCCUUAGUUAUAGGGUGUGAUAUUAUUAUGCGUGCUGGAUCAAUAUAAUCCUGACAGCUGCCCCUUUAAGAGACCUGGCUGGGUUUGAACUGACAGCUCAAGGUCUGAUUCGUCUGCUACCUAAUUCCUUUACCUGUAUUCCCUGCCACUCCGCAGCGGCGCCCAGAAGUGUCCUCGCAAACCUCUCCUGUCCGCCGGUGUGUUUCUCCACUAAGGGGUGGAUCAGGUGACAUGUGUACCAUGACCCCCAUGCUGCUCCAAGAUUCUAUUUAAACUUGGUUCUGUGCUCAGUUGUUUUGUUCAUCCCUAGGAGUAAAGAUCCAUCUCCUAAGGCAUAUUGCCUACCUUUGUUUAUGGAAAACCCUUGCUGUGUAUCCUGUGUUCCUGUUACCUACUGAUUCCUCUUUAAAAAAACUUUUGCAUAUUUGACUUCGCAUUAGAUUAACCCUUGCAACGCUAAGUCCACUUUAAAGGAUUUUUGCAUAUUUUUUUUUUAAAUUCUUUAUUUUUGAGUGCAUCAAGAAAAAUCAGUUACAUAUGCAUUUGCCAAGCCCCAACAGCAUGUACACA
Pelobates cultripes (western spadefoot toad) is the source of this 861-nucleotide non-coding RNA. The record is from the annotation of a GenBank genome assembly. Lineage: Eukaryota; Metazoa; Chordata; Amphibia; Anura; Pelobatidae.